RNAcentral lists this ribosomal RNA (420 nucleotides) under Triticum aestivum (bread wheat). Its description in RNAcentral is "partial small subunit ribosomal RNA". Lineage: Eukaryota; Viridiplantae; Streptophyta; Magnoliopsida; Poales; Poaceae. The record is from RNAcentral.
AUGCGUCGCCUCGCCAAGUCCCUGCAAUCAUGCCGCUGUUCACCUGUUGUUGUCGCUGCUCUUCAGAGCGAGCAGUUUGCCCGCUCGCCUGCGCCUCAUGUUGACCAAGCACGAUGCCGCAGCGACCGCGCGUGGGCCUCCUCUUGCCUCGCCCCGGCCCAGAGCUUCCUCCAGCAAGUCCGGCCCAACACCAAGGCGCAGGCCCAGCUCCCUUCAGCCGCGCAGGCCCAGCUCCCUUCGCCCGUGAGGCCCAGCUCCGCGCGCCCCUGCAGGCCCAAUGUGAGCCACCCACAUCCCAGCGCCCCUCCUUUGUCCUUACCAGUUGGGCUACCCAAAUUCGGCCUGUUUCUUUUUUUCCCUGCGAACGAAUUUCCUAAUUUCCAAUACAUGCAUAAUUACAGGAGGAUGCCAUUAUUUUAA